Long non-coding RNA from Ylistrum balloti, 583 nucleotides. RefSeq lists it as uncharacterized. NCBI's taxonomy places the organism in Eukaryota, Metazoa, Mollusca, Bivalvia, Pectinida, Pectinidae. The transcript has 2 exons. The record is from RefSeq and is a predicted model, not a curated record.
UAACUAACCUAAUCAACAGCACGCUUACGAAAUGGCAUUGAGCCCUCAUUCAAUAGUUGCCAUCGGAUGGGGCAGCAUAUUUGUAACUAGCUUCUUUGUCUACACAAAUGCCCAUAAAUACGUUUCCAAAAGGAGGACAGAAAUACUAAGAGAAAAACGACGGAGAUCAAGAGAAGAAGCGUUAAAAGAAGAAAAUCAGACUAAAUCUUCAUAACUAACUGACAUUUAAACAUCAUUUUUAAAGGACUUUUGAAAAGCUACAAGGAACAGGCACUGUGAUUGUUACCUAUAGACCACAGAUGUGUAUGUCUGUGUGGAUAGAAUUCACUGGAAUACCUACAAAUAGGAAGGAGUGUAACAGGUCAUAGCAGCCUGUGUGAGGUUGUUAACAAUAUCCUGUUUGGACGGGAUCAUAAUUCUAUGUUAAAGAUACAUCUGUGAUGACAAUCAUGUGUGAUUUACGUGGUGUGUGUGAAUGUACUGAAAGAGUGUGGUUAAAGAUUUACAAAAUAUCAUAGAAUAUUACUUCAGGGUUGAUUCUCUGUUUGUAGGGGAAUGAAUAUUAAAUUAGUAAAACCAGUCA